CUGGCUCAGAACGAACGCUGGCGGCGCGUCUUAAGCAUGCAAGUCGAACGGCAAGAGGUAGCAAUACCUCCUAGAGUGGCGGACUGGUGAGUAACACGUGGGUGACAUACCCUUCAGAUGGGGGAUAGCUAUUAGAAAUAGUAGAUAAUACCGAAUACGAGCACAGGGGUUAGAGAUCUGUGAGGAAAGGAGCUAAGGCUCCGCUGAAGGAAUGGCCUGCGGCCCAUUAGCUAGUUGGUGAGGUAAGAGCCCACCAAGGCGAUGAUGGGUAUCCGGCCUUAGAGGGUGAACGGACACAUUGGGACUGAGAUACGGCCCAGACUCCUACGGGAGGCAGCAGCUAAGAAUAUUCCGCAAUGGACGAAAGUCUGACGGAGCGACGCCGCGUGGAUGAAGAAGGCCGGAAGGUUGUAAAAUCCUUUUGAAACUGAAGAAUAAGCGUUGUAGGGAAUGACAGCGUGGUGACAGUAGGUUUUGAAUAAGCAACGGCUAAUUACGUGCCAGCCGCCGC
This 511-nucleotide ribosomal RNA is filed under the name uncultured bacterium. RNAcentral describes it as "bacterial SSU rRNA". It matches the Rfam family "Bacterial small subunit ribosomal RNA", at positions 19 to 518 of the family's 1533-position model. The record is from RNAcentral.